AGAUUAAGUUAUUAAGGGCGCACGGUGGAUGCCUUGGCACUAGAAGCCGAUGAAGGACGUUACUAACGACGAUAUGCUUUGGGGAGCUGUAAGUAAGCGUUGAUCCAGAGAUUUCCGAAUGGGGAAACCCAGCAUGAGUUAUGUCAUGUUAUCGAUAUGUGAAUACAUAGCAUAUCAGAAGGCAGACCCGGAGAACUGAAACAUCUUAGUACCCGGAGGAAGAGAAAGAAAAAUCGAUUCCCUGAGUAGCGGCGAGCGAAACGGGAAGAGCCCAAACCAACAAGCUUGCUUGUUGGGGUUGUAGGACACUCUAUACGGAGUUACAAAAGUAUAUAUUAGACGAAUCAUCUGGAAAGUUGAAUCAAAGAAGGUAAUAAUCCUGUAGUCGAAAAUAUAUACUCUCUUGAGUGGAUCCUGAGUACGACGGAGCACGUGAAAUUCCGUCGGAAUCUGGGAGGACCAUCUCCUAAGGCUAAAUACUCUCUAGUGACCGAUAGUGAACCAGUACCGUGAGGGAAAGGUGAAAAGUACCCCGGAAGGGGAGUGAAAAAGAACUUGAAACCGUGUGCUUACAAGUAGUCAGAGCCCGUUAAUGGGUGAUGGCGUGCCUUUUGUAGAAUGAACCGGCGAGUUACGAUUUGAUGCAAGGUUAAGCAGCUAAUGUGGAGCCGUAGCGAAAGCGAGUCUGAAUAGGGCGUUUAGUAUUUGGUCGUAGACCCGAAACCAGGUGAUCUACCCUUGGUCAGGUUGAAGUUCAGGUAACACUGAAUGGAGGACCGAACCGACUUACGUUGAAAAGUGAGCGGAUGAACUGAGGGUAGCGGAGAAAUUCCAAUCGAACUUGGAGAUAGCUGGUUCUCUCCGAAAUAGCUUUAGGGCUAGCCUCAAGUGAUGAUUAUUGGAGGUAGAGCACUGUUUGGACGAGGGGCCCUUCUCGGGUUACCGAAUUCAGACAAACUCCGAAUGCCAAUUAAUUUAACUUGGGAGUCAGAACAUGGGUGAUAAGGUCCGUGUUCGAAAGGGAAACAGCCCAGACCACCAGCUAAGGUCCCAAAAUAUAUGUUAAGUGGAAAAGGAUGUGGCGUUGCCCAGACAACUAGGAUGUUGGCUUAGAAGCAGCCAUCAUUUAAAGAGUGCGUAAUAGCUCACUAGUCGAGUGACACUGCGCCGAAAAUGUACCGGGGCUAAACAUAUUACCGAAGCUGUGGAUUGUCCGUAGGACAAUGGUAGGAGAG
RNAcentral lists this ribosomal RNA (1235 nucleotides) under Staphylococcus warneri. Its description in RNAcentral is "partial 23S ribosomal RNA". It matches the Rfam family "Bacterial large subunit ribosomal RNA", at positions 1 to 1236 of the family's 2925-position model. The record is from RNAcentral. Lineage: Bacteria; Bacillati; Bacillota; Bacilli; Caryophanales; Staphylococcaceae.